Molecule: ribosomal RNA, 492 nt
Filed under: uncultured bacterium
Lineage: Bacteria
Description: partial 16S ribosomal RNA
Rfam family: Bacterial small subunit ribosomal RNA
Source: RNAcentral
AGUGAACGCUGGCGGUAGGCCUAACACAUGCAAGUCGAACGGCAGCACAGUAAGAGCUUGCUCUUACGGGUGGCGAGUGGCGGACGGGUGAGGAAUACAUCGGAAUCUACUUUUUCGUGGGGGAUAACGUAGGGAAACUUACGCUAAUACCGCAUACGACCUACGUGUGAAAGCAGGGGAUCUUUGGACCUUGCGCGAUUGAAUGAGCCGAUGUCGGAUUAGCUAGUUGGCGGGGUAAAGGCCCACCAAGGCGACGAUCCGUAGCUGGUCUGAGAGGAUGAUCAGCCACACUGGAACUGAGACACGGUCCAGACUCCUACGGGAGGCAGCAGUGGGGAAUAUUGGACGAUGGGCGCGAGCCUGAUCCAGCCAUACCGCGUGGGUGAAGAAGGCCUUCGGGUUGUAAAGCCCUUUUGUUGGGAGAGAAAAGCAGCAGGUUAAUACCCCGCUGUUCUGACGGUACCCAAAGAAUAAGCACCGGCUAACUUCGUG